AGUGAACGCUGGCGGUAGGCCUAACACAUGCAAGUCGAACGGCAGCACAGUAAGAGCUUGCUCUUACGGGUGGCGAGUGGCGGACGGGUGAGGAAUACAUCGGAAUCUACUUUUUCGUGGGGGAUAACGUAGGGAAACUUACGCUAAUACCGCAUACGACCUACGGGUGAAAGCAGGGGAUCUUCGGACCUUGCGCGAUUGAAUGAGCCGAUGUCGGAUUAGCUAGUUGGCGGGGUAAAGGCCCACCAAGGCGACGAUCCGUAGCUGGUCUGAGAGGAUGAUCAGCCACACUGGAACUGAGACACGGUCCAGACUCCUACGGGAGGCAGCAGUGGGGAAUAUUGGACAAUGGGCGCAAGCCUGAUCCAGCCACACCGCGUGGGUGAAGAAGGCCUUCGGGUUGUAAAGCCCUUUUGUUGGGAAAGAAAAGCAGCAGAUUAAUACCCCGCUGUUCUGACGGUACCCAAAGAAUAAGCACCGGCUAACUUCGUG
RNAcentral lists this ribosomal RNA (492 nucleotides) under uncultured bacterium. RNAcentral describes it as "partial 16S ribosomal RNA". It matches the Rfam family "Bacterial small subunit ribosomal RNA", at positions 29 to 507 of the family's 1533-position model. The record is from RNAcentral.